This 253-nucleotide ribosomal RNA is filed under the name uncultured bacterium. Its description in RNAcentral is "partial 16S ribosomal RNA". It matches the Rfam family "Bacterial small subunit ribosomal RNA", at positions 524 to 776 of the family's 1533-position model. The record is from RNAcentral.
UACGUAGGGGGCAAGCGUUGUCCGGAUUUAUUGGGCGUAAAGAGCGUGUAGGCGGCCAAGCAGGUCCGCUGUGAAAACUCGAGGCUCAACCUCGAGACGUCGGUGGAAACCGUUUGGCUAGAGUCCGGAAGAGGAGAGUGGAAUUCCCGGUGUAGCGGUGAAAUGCGCGGAUAUCGGGAAGAACACCCGUGGCGAAGGCGGCUCUCUGGGACGGUACUGACGCUGAGACGCGAAAGCGUGGGGAGCGAACAGG